This 394-nucleotide ribosomal RNA is filed under the name Labiotermes leptothrix. RNAcentral describes it as "partial 16S ribosomal RNA". Lineage: Eukaryota; Metazoa; Arthropoda; Insecta; Blattodea; Termitidae. The record is from RNAcentral.
CAAAAACAUCUUUUCUUGUUAGUUUUUGAAGUAUGGCCUGCCCACUGACUUUGGUUGAAGGGCCGCGGUAUUUUGACCGUGCAAAGGUAGCAUAAUCAUUAGUUCUUUAAUUGUGAUCUGGUAUGAAUGGCUUGACGAGACACAAACUGUCUUAGGGGUAUUGGUUUGUUGAAUUUAGUUUUUAAGUUAAAAUUCUUAGAUGUUUUUAUGGGACGAGAAGACCCUAUAGAGUUUUACACUUAUUUUGGUUAUAUUGUUGUUUGUUUUUGUUUUAAUUUGAAUUUAGUGUUUUGUUGGGGUGAUGGGAGGAAUAUUAUUUAACUCCUCUUUGUUUUUAUAUAUUUAUUUAUAUUUAUUUGAUCCAUUUAUUUUGAUUAUAAGAUUAAAUUACCUU